UUCCUGUUCAGAUCAGAAAUAGAUAGUUAACUGACUCAUGUUAGAAAAUAUAGCAUUUAAAAAUAGAAAUGAUCGUAUGCUGUGGGCGAUCCCAUGGAGUGGGGCUUCAGGCAGAGGACAAUGCUCCAUCACAAAAUCUCUAGAUUAUAAAAACUUGUAUCUGCUGUUUCUGUGAACGAAGAUUCUGUAAAGAUAUAAGUGGAACCGGCUUCCUAGAGAGAUGUUCGAUGCCCCAGGCCUGUCGGUGUUUAAGAGGCAUUUGAAUAAUGCCCUUGACAACAUACUUUAACUUUUGGUCAGUGCUGAAGUGCUCAGGCAGUUGGAUUAGAUUAUCAUUAUGUUUACACUCCCCGAAAGAAGCUGAUGGCUGGAGCCUGGACAUGUGCUUAUGACAGAUGUGACAGAUGUAUUCCAGUAAAUGCAAAGUAAAGUUGUUGCAAAUCAG
This is a long non-coding RNA of Cuculus canorus (common cuckoo), 445 nucleotides long. RefSeq lists it as uncharacterized. NCBI's taxonomy places the organism in Eukaryota, Metazoa, Chordata, Aves, Cuculiformes, Cuculidae. The transcript is spliced from 3 exons. The record is from RefSeq and is a predicted model, not a curated record.